Molecule: long non-coding RNA, 1344 nt
Filed under: Piliocolobus tephrosceles (Ugandan red Colobus)
Lineage: Eukaryota; Metazoa; Chordata; Mammalia; Primates; Cercopithecidae
Description: lncRNA (ENSPTEG00000003964.1)
Source: RNAcentral
UCGUUUAUUUAUUCGUUUAUUUAUUCGAUUAUUUAUCUAUUUAUCUAUUUUUAGUUUCUUGUUCCAUAUUUUUUUCACACAAUAUCCUACUUUUUUAAUAUAUUAACGUUUUUAUAUUAUUUUAAAAUUACGAAAAAAAAAAAAAAAAAAAGAAAAAAAAAAAAUAUAUAUUCUUUUAAACUUCGUCAUCAAAUUCAGUAACAUUCUCCAAUUUAUAAGCUUCGUUUUGUUGUCUAUAAACUUCGUUUCCAAAACCAGCCUAUGAAAAAAAAAAAAAAAAAAAAAAAACGAACCAAUGGGUAAGUUAAUAGAUAAACAAAUUAAUAAAUUAACAAAAAAAUAUUAGAAAAAAAAAGAACACCACAUAAGUAGUAUAAAAGAAUAAAAUAUAUUUUCAGCUUGGUUAAACAUACGUGUAAAUAUACUUAUACAUAAACGUAUGUACAUAUAUAUAUAUAUAUAUAUAUAUAUAAAUAUGUUCUUACUAUUCCUCCUAAAAUAGCUCCCAAAGGGAAACAGGAAUUUUCCGCUUUCAUUAAUGCCAAGCGAACGUGAUGAGAUGAUUCAUCUUCAACAUUUAUCAGGCCAAAUAUAAAGCCAAAGAUUCCUCCCAUUGUUAUAGUAAAUAAUAAUAUUAAUAAUUGAUCCUUGGAUAAAACCAAAUAAAUAAUUUAUAAAAUCUAUUAAACUAAAUGUCACGGCAAAAGCAAUGCUAAUUCCCAAAAGACAAUAGAUAGGUACUUUCGCGAUAGUGGAAAGAGAAAAAAGCCACGUACGCUCAAAAAAUAGACAUAAGAACCCUGAUAAUAUUAUCUGCAAAAAAACAAAAAAAAAAAAAUGAAUAUAUAUAUAUACAUACAUAUACUUAUACAAUAUGGCAUUCUAUUUUUUUUUUUUUUUUUUUUUUUUUUUUUUUUGCUUCUACAAACAAAAUAAAUAUACAUGUAUCACCAUGUAUUUAUUACCAUUGCUGCUAAGACCAUUAAUUGGGUUCUCCUAUUUUCAGACUCAUCACCUAUAUUAGCACUUAAUCUCCAAAAUAUUAUAAUUCCAACUACAAUAAACAAUAUACCAAAAAAAAAAAAAAAAAAAGUUUCUUACCAUAGAAAAAAAUGUUGAUAACGAAACUUCUACUAACGUACAAUUAACUAUUAAAGAACAUAUUAUUCCUAAUAUCAUCCCAAUUAUAGAACUUAGACCUCCUUUAAAAAUCAAAUCCUUCGUACAGUUUAUCCGAAGCCCAGAUAAUUUGUCAAACUCUUUAAUCUCCAUAUCCAUUUUUUUUUUUUUUUUUUUUAAUAUUUCAUGAAUAAAAUAUAUAAAAUGAAUAUAAAUAUAUUUAUU